Molecule: transfer RNA, 91 nt
Filed under: Corynebacterium amycolatum SK46
Lineage: Bacteria; Bacillati; Actinomycetota; Actinomycetes; Mycobacteriales; Corynebacteriaceae
Description: tRNA-Ser
Rfam family: tRNA
About the family: Transfer RNA (tRNA) molecules are approximately 80 nucleotides in length. Their secondary structure includes four short double-helical elements and three loops (D, anti-codon, and T loops). Further hydrogen bonds mediate the characteristic L-shaped molecular structure. tRNAs have two regions of fundamental functional importance: the anti-codon, which is responsible for specific mRNA codon recognition, and the 3' end, to which the tRNAs corresponding amino acid is attached (by aminoacyl-tRNA synthetases). tRNAs cope with the degeneracy of the genetic code in two manners: having more than one tRNA (with a specific anti-codon) for a particular amino acid; and 'wobble' base-pairing, i.e. permitting non-standard base-pairing at the 3rd anti-codon position.
Source: RNAcentral
UGGAGGAUUCGACUAGCGGCCUAUGUCACACGCCUGGAACGCGUGCGGGAGUCACAUCCCUCGUGGGUUCAAAUCCCACAUCCUCCGCAGA